RNAcentral lists this long non-coding RNA (1526 nucleotides) under Zea mays. RNAcentral's name for it is "long non-coding RNA (ZMAY_LNC005514)". Lineage: Eukaryota; Viridiplantae; Streptophyta; Magnoliopsida; Poales; Poaceae. The record is from RNAcentral.
UUCACUAAACUAGUAGUGUUGUUAAUUUGUUAUGAGACUAGCAGUCCAGCACACGAUACCUUUUUAUUUGUAAUUAUACAAGAUUUUCUUGUACUAAAAUUGUCUUGUAUUUGCAUUUCAGCUUCCACGCCUAUGCCAUCCCUUCCUAUAGACAUAGAGAUUUUAGAUGUGAUAUCUACUUCUUCGGAUGUCAUAGAAGAUAUAUCAAGUGAUCCAGACGACAUGCCACAUGAUUUCUAGUUUAUGUAUCAUGUGUUUCAGACUUAUAUAUUACAUGGUUAAAACUUCAGUGAACAUGUAUGAUCAUUUAUGUGUGGUCAAGACUCAAGACUAUGUAUUGUGUAUUUGUGUGGUUGAGACUUGUAUGUGGAUGUGAAUGAACAAUCGUGUUUUAAUACUUAUGUAUUGUGUGUUAAAAUUUGAGUGGACAUGUAUAAGUGUAUGGCCAAUUAUAUGUGGACAAGAUUAUGUUUUGUGUACUUUUGUGAAUGAGACUUGUUUGUGGUUGUGAAUGAACAAUUGUGUGGUUAGGAUUUGUUUAUUGUGAGCUUUUCCGAUUACAAUUACCGCUUCCCGAUCAAUUCCGAGCUAUUUUGCUCGGAUUUAUCUGUUUUUGAUAUACCGGAAUUUACCGGUCGUUAUCCGUUUCCGACUUUCCCGUUUACCGAUUCCGGCCGAAUAAAAAAUUAUGCGGGUGAAAACGGAGAGAGUUUUUUUCCGAUCGUUACCGACCGUUUUCACCCUUAAUCCCCACCAUUGAUCGAAGGAUCAAUGGCAACUGCUCAUCUUCUUCCCUACCAUGACACCUAACGCCGCAAUGCCCCAGCGGCCGUGGUGUGCAUCGACGUGCCCCAAAACCGGUGACCCCCACCCAAUCCGACUACUACAAUGUGUAAACGAGGGCGGAGCUCAUGGUGAGUAAGGUUAGCGGCGUCUUACCGGCUAUGGAGUCGACGACGUGGUUGACCACGUCAGAUGGCGGAUCCGUAGCCACCGCAUCAGACCGCCGAGCAAAUUCGGACAAGUCCACCCAUCACCUUGCUCCUGGGAGUUACCUCUAGGUUCGCUGCACACCACCGGUAGUCCCUCGCCCUCCUCCCGAGGCCGGACCGUCAGCCAGGGUAGGAUCCGACCGCGACGGCGACGAGCUCGACUUGCAGCUGCCCGGCGGCGAACCACGGACUCCAUAGGAAACAAACCCAAUACCCCGAUGAACUUCUACGCUCAUCAGCGAACCUCUCUGGCAGGCCCUGGCGCCGCGACCUUCGCUCCACAUGAUCCGACGAACUCCCCCUUUCUCUCUCCUCCCCUUUCUCUCUCCUCGAGUGCGGCCCUGGCGCCGCGACCUUCGCUCCACAUGAUCCGACGAACUCCCCCUUUCUCUCUCCUCGAGUGCGGCGGCGGAUCUCCCCUGUUGGUUUCCUGCGCUCACCCUCUCUCUCCAAUGGCCACGGCACACCAUGGGCGAACGCGCUGCCUUACUUCUGGUUGACCAGGGCGGUGAGUUCCAGGGCCAUGAGCGUUCC